GGCUCGUCCCGUCCGCCCGCCGCGGCGGUGUGGGGAGAGGGAGGCGGCCCCCGCGCCUCAGCCGCGGGCGGCACCGGGCGGCAGAGAGGAUGCCCGUGAGGAGCCCCCCGCAGCCCUGCCCGCUGCCUCUUGAGGAAAGCAGGGCUUGAAAUCCUCCCUCCUCUUCCUCCCGGGGGACUUCCGCUGCAUGGAGGAAGACGCUUUUUACUAGAGAUUUAACUUGCUUAAAGAUAUCAAGGUAGGAGAUUUUUUUCCCCCUACAUUUUCUUUACUGUAUCUGUUUAAAUAGG
Molecule: long non-coding RNA, 290 nt
Filed under: Anas platyrhynchos (mallard)
Lineage: Eukaryota; Metazoa; Chordata; Aves; Anseriformes; Anatidae
Description: lncRNA (ENSAPLG00020014291.1)
Source: RNAcentral